AGCGAACGCUGGCGGCAGGCCUAACACAUGCAAGUCGAACGGAUCCUUCGGGAUUAGUGGUGGACGGGUGAGUAACACGUGGGAACGUGCCCUUUGGUUCGGAACAACUCAGGGAAACUUGAGCUAAUACCGGAUGUGCCCUUCGGGGGAAAGAUUUAUCGCCAUUGGAGCGGCCCGCGUCUGAUUAGCUAGUUGGUGAGGUAACGGCCCACCAAGGCGACGAUCAGUAGCUGGUCUGAGAGGAUGAUCAGCCACACUGGGACUGAGACACGGCCCAGACUCCUACGGGAGGCAGCAGUGGGGAAUCUUGCGCAAUGGGCGAAAGCCUGACGCAGCCAUGCCGCGUGAAUGAUGAAGGUCUUAGGAUUGUAAAAUUCUUUCAGCGGGGACGAUAAUGACGGUACCCGCAGAAGAAGCUCCGGCUAACUUCGUG
RNAcentral lists this ribosomal RNA (433 nucleotides) under uncultured bacterium. Its description in RNAcentral is "partial 16S ribosomal RNA". It matches the Rfam family "Bacterial small subunit ribosomal RNA", at positions 29 to 507 of the family's 1533-position model. The record is from RNAcentral.